CACUUAAAAGCCAGUUAUGAUCGAUCAAAGAAAAAUCUUGUUAUAUAAGUUUUACUAAGAAACGCUUUGUAAUGUGUAAUUCUCUUCUCAUCAUAAACACACGAUUAGGCUUAAUCUAAAAGUCCUUAAAGACGACGCUUUUUUAUUCCCCUAUGAACAAAUGAAGGUCAGAUUCAUAGCAUGUAAGAGCUAACGUUAGAGAUAAUACACAGAUAAAGAAGACAGAGAAUUUAACAUUUUGUAAACAUGGCUAUAUUUGAAGAACCUUUUAGAAAACUAGAAUAUGCGGGCAGAUUCAUUAUUGGGGAAUUUCCUUCUCUCCUCCCUACUUGUGGGCGGAUGUUUUAGAAACACGUCACACGUCAAUCAUUAAGUAUAAAACCCACCCUUUCAGCAUCUUAGAGCACAGACUCCCAGUUCAACAGAAGACUUAUCCUUAGGAGGAAAAGCAACUGAUAAAAUGAAUUACAUUUGGAUCUUGUGUCUUGGGAUGCUGAUCAUGACUCUACCAUUUUCAGCUUCACAGGAAAAGAGCAAUGAUAGCAAUAGAUCAGAAACCUCAUCAUCAUCUGCUUCUACGAAUUCCAGUGCUGUGGGAUUGGCUCAUGGGUCUGUUGCCCUGUGUCUGCUGAUCCCAACGGCCACCCUGGGCUUUCUCUACAAUACACCUUAAUCUGGAUGGAAAAGUCUGCAAAAUACACGGUGAAGACUGAAACAGUGGCAGAGAUGACAAUUCUUUCAAACAUAAGAUACAACAUGGAGGAUUGGACACUUGUAAUGAAAUUAAAAUAAUGAAAACCAAAGGUCCUUCAAACCGCAUUCCCACCAAAACCACUGCACUGAACUUUUGUUGUGGUUUUGUUGGGCUCCUCUACUCAAUAGCAAUUCUUUUGAAAGUUUCUUUUUGAAAGUCUGUUUCUUAGAAGCCCGAACUUAAAUCUGUUAUCACCGCAUUCAUCAAAAAUGUGUUUCUUUUUUAAAGUCGGUCUGAGAAUUUAUUAAUUAUUAUAUAUAUUAUAUUUGUAUUAUAUAUAUAUUAAUUUGGUUUCUGUCAUUAUGCUAUCUGUACAUUAAACGUUACUGUGUGAACCUAA
Molecule: long non-coding RNA, 1094 nt
Organism: Triplophysa dalaica
Lineage: Eukaryota; Metazoa; Chordata; Actinopteri; Cypriniformes; Nemacheilidae
Exons: 2
Source: RefSeq, a predicted model, not a curated record